Molecule: long non-coding RNA, 1354 nt
Organism: Triticum dicoccoides
Lineage: Eukaryota; Viridiplantae; Streptophyta; Magnoliopsida; Poales; Poaceae
Exons: 4
Source: RefSeq, a predicted model, not a curated record
UGCAGAGUAAAAAGGACCCGAGGGAGUACAUGGAAGGAGGGAGUAUGAUUUAGAUGUGACUUAGUUAAUUCUCAUCUAGAUGACAGCUAGCCACGUUGUCAAAUCUGUAUCAUUUCGAUUUAAAAAAAACCGUAUCAUCUCGGCUUGGGUUUCUUUGAGUUCCUUCUCUUUUGUUUCUGUGCGCACGCUACAACUUCGAUUUUCCAAAUAUUGAUCCUGUAGGUAGUUCUGGUUGCCAAUUCAGUGCCAACUUUGAAGUUGCAACUUAAGCUCCAAAGGUACGAGCUUAAAAUUUAUUCUCCUUGCCAAUCCUUAUAUAUGCCUCUAAUUUAUGCUUUGUUUGUUAUGUAUCACUGCAUUGUGGAUCAAUUGGAAAACUGCGGAAGCAGGGCGGCUUUAUAGUCGAUCUAUAUGGCAUUAUUGCUAGAUCCAGUGUCAGACACCUACCUCAAUUUUAAGUGAAAGGCUGCGGGAGUUACUAUUGCUAACUGGGCGGCUGUAGAACCGACGAAAGAAGCUGUGCAGUAUGCAGUUGCUUACCAGCCUGUUGUGGCAUCUAUCUACACUAACAGCAAAUUUAGGAGAUACAGCAAGGGUUUUCUUGAAGUUCCUCGCAAUCCUGGUCCAGUUAACCACUCUGUGCUUCUACUCGGAUAUGGUGAGUGUCCACUACAGGGCGAAUGCUGGAUCGGCAUAAGUUCGUACCGAAACCGAAGGCGAUGGGGCAUAACAUGGCGGGGCCAGUACCGUAACAUCUUCUUUCUACCGAGGAACACGUGUCAUGUGGAGGGGGCUCUCAGAGUCCUAACCAAUGUUGUUCUUCCCCUGGGAGCUUCUAUGGUUCCUAAGGUUAAAACUCGAAGUGAGAGCUGCCCUGCCUGUUUCAAGUAGGUGGGCUUACGAUGGACUACUAAUGCUGCUGGUGGCUCGUCACACUCCAGUGUUUCUAUUGGUUUGAGUUCUGUUUGGAAUCUGUGCUACCUGCUUCAAUUGGCUCGAGCUCUUUUUGCUGAUUUGUGAUAUGAUGUUUUUGUUUGGAGUCUGAGCUACCAGUUCAAUUGGCUCCGUGCUCUUUUUGAUCAACUUAUGAUCCGAUGCUGCACUUAGACCAUUGUGUCUCAAGUCAUGUAUUACCUCCGUCCCAAAUUACUACUCUUUGACACUACACCAGUGUCAAAAAGGGUCUUACAUUAUGGGACGGUCGAAGUAGAUUUUAUUGUUAUUAGAUACAACCAUAUCUACACAAAUAUGGGAGACGUAAAUUGGGACGGAAAGAGUAUAACAAGAUGAUGUUGAGUAGGUACCAACAACUUGGAUCAGCAAUUUAUAGAAGCGAAGUACCUUUCACUUAAAA